Molecule: ribosomal RNA, 253 nt
Filed under: uncultured bacterium
Lineage: Bacteria
Description: partial 16S ribosomal RNA
Rfam family: Bacterial small subunit ribosomal RNA
Source: RNAcentral
UACGCAGGGGGCUAGCGUUGCUCGGAAUCACUGGGCGUAAAGCGCACGUAGGCGGCUUGCUAAGUCAGGGGUGAAAUCCUGGAGCUCAACUCCAGAACUGCCUUUGAUACUGGCGAUCUCGAGUCCGGGAGAGGUGAGUGGAACUGCGAGUGUAGAGGUGAAAUUCGUAGAUAUUCGCAAGAACACCAGUGGCGAAGGCGGCUCACUGGCCCGGUACUGACGCUGAGGUGCGAAAGCGUGGGGAGCAAACAGG